This 405-nucleotide ribosomal RNA is filed under the name uncultured bacterium. Its description in RNAcentral is "bacterial SSU rRNA". It matches the Rfam family "Bacterial small subunit ribosomal RNA", at positions 509 to 916 of the family's 1533-position model. The record is from RNAcentral.
CAGCAGCCGCGGUAAUACGGAGGAUGCAAGCGUUAUCCGGAUUCAUUGGGUUUAAAGGGUGCGUAGGCGGCUCUUUAAGUCAGUGGUGAAAUCUUGCCGCUUAACGGUAAAAUUGCCAUUGAUACUGAAGAGCUUGAGUACAUUUGAGGUAAGCGGAAUGUGUAGUGUAGCGGUGAAAUGCUUAGAUAUUACACAGAACACCAAUUGCGAAGGCAGCUUACUAAACUGUUACUGACGCUGAUGCACGAAAGCGUGGGGAGCGAACAGGAUUAGAUACCCUGGUAGUCCACGCCGUAAACGAUGCUCACUCGCUGUUUGCGAUACACAGCAAGCGGCCAAGCGAAAGCAUUAAGUGAGCCACCUGGGGAGUACGAUCGCAAGGUUGAAACUCAAAGGAAUUGACGG